This 289-nucleotide long non-coding RNA is filed under the name Homo sapiens (human). RNAcentral describes it as "HSALNT0299628". Lineage: Eukaryota; Metazoa; Chordata; Mammalia; Primates; Hominidae. The record is from RNAcentral.
GGGGUCAGCCCCCACCCGGCCAGCCGCCCCGUCCGGGAGGGAGGUGGGGGGUCAGCCCCCGCCCGGCCAGCCGCCCCGUCCUGGAGGGAGGUGGGGGGUCAGCCCCCGCCCGGCCAGCCGCCCCGUCCAGGAGGUGAGGGGCACCUCUGCCCGGCCGCCCCUACUGGGAAGUGAGGAGCCCCUCUGCCCGGCCACCACCCCGUCUGGGAGGUGUACCCAACAGCUCAUUGAGAACGGGCCAUGAUGACAAUGGCGAUUUUGUGGAAUAGAAAAGGGGGAAAGGUGGGGA